Long non-coding RNA from Bombus terrestris (buff-tailed bumblebee), 474 nucleotides. RefSeq lists it as uncharacterized. The transcript is spliced from 2 exons. NCBI's taxonomy places the organism in Eukaryota, Metazoa, Arthropoda, Insecta, Hymenoptera, Apidae. The record is from RefSeq and is a predicted model, not a curated record.
CAUCCUACGUUUGAUGCUAAAGGUUUAUUGAAAACUGCACAAAUGCGGGAGGAAUACGUUUAUAGGUGAUAUUUAGUAUCCUUAUUUAACCCACAAAGAUGACGCGGCAUCUGUUUAUGGAAUCAUUUAGGCUAGUUCUCGUGUAUGACUAUCACUAUUGCGUUGCAAUCUCAUGUAACUAAUUAAGUAUGUUGAAAGAAAAAAAACAAAUCCCCGUUUAUAACUUCCUUAACUGAAAGAAGUAACAAAAUCCAGAUGUGAUUUUCCCUGGACGUAAGCACCUUCUUUGGGUGAACUGAACUGGUUUCACUCAUCUCAUCAAUCACAGAAGAAUAAAUCGUUAACGAUCUAUGCUUUCUUUCCAGAAAAAAAUAUAACAUUUAAUUAUACAUAAAAAUUCGUACACAAAUAAUACUUGUUAUCUUUUCCUUUAAAGUCAUAAAUAUAAUUAUAUGAAUAAUUGCUAUUGAUAAA